Molecule: transfer RNA, 72 nt
Filed under: Candidatus Curtissbacteria bacterium
Lineage: Bacteria; Candidatus Curtissiibacteriota
Description: tRNA-Glu
Rfam family: tRNA
About the family: Transfer RNA (tRNA) molecules are approximately 80 nucleotides in length.
Source: RNAcentral
GCCGCUUUCGUCUAGUGGUUAGGACACAGCGUUCUCAACGCUGUAACACCGGUUCGACUCCGGUAAGCGGCA